This 73-nucleotide transfer RNA is filed under the name Ictidomys tridecemlineatus (thirteen-lined ground squirrel). Its description in RNAcentral is "Spermophilus tridecemlineatus (thirteen-lined ground squirrel) tRNA". It matches the Rfam family "tRNA". Rfam says of the family: Transfer RNA (tRNA) molecules are approximately 80 nucleotides in length. The record is from Rfam by way of RNAcentral. Lineage: Eukaryota; Metazoa; Chordata; Mammalia; Rodentia; Sciuridae.
UGGGGUAUAGCUUAGUUGGUAGAGUUCUUGCCUCACAGGUACAAGGCCCUGGGUUCAAUCCCCAGCAUCACAA